UGGCGCCCAGCGUGGGGGCUCCUGUCAUGGGGGAGUCAACGAGGGAGCCGUUCGAGAAAGCGGGCUGAAAGUGAAAGCAAAUUGAACCAAAGACCGCAGCAAAAGAAAAAACAAACUAAAUCAAGACUAAGGCUACAAGCAAAAGAACAUUAAAUCAAGGAUGGAGGCCUGCGCGGACAACUACCCAACGUACCGCCCGAGUCAUGGUGAGUGAACGGUGACCCCAUCCCCUUUCCCGGACAUGGGUCAAGCAUUGAGCGAACACGAAUUCUUCGUGGGAAACCUUAUAAAGGCAUGAAAGACAAGAGGGGUAAGGGUUAGAACAAAAGAAUUAUUGCAGUAUUUUCAAUUUAUUCAUAAGGUUUUCCCUU
Molecule: regulatory RNA element, 371 nt
Organism: Cavia porcellus (domestic guinea pig)
Lineage: Eukaryota; Metazoa; Chordata; Mammalia; Rodentia; Caviidae
Rfam family: Mason-Pfizer monkey virus packaging signal
About the family: The packaging signal is located in the 5' UTR and is required for specific RNA encapsidation.
Source: Rfam